This 45-nucleotide non-coding RNA is filed under the name Echinostoma caproni. Lineage: Eukaryota; Metazoa; Platyhelminthes; Trematoda; Plagiorchiida; Echinostomatidae. The record is from RNAcentral.
GCGCUGCUGAUGAGUCUCAGCUAGGACGAAACAGCUGUCCAGUAU